UAAACUCAAAGGAAUUGACGGGGGCCCGCACAAGCGGCGGAGCAUGUGGAUUAAUUCGAUGCAACGCGAAGAACCUUACCUGGGUUUGACAUGCACAGGACGUGCCUAGAGAUAGGUAUUCCCCUGUGGUCUGUGUGCAGGUGGUGCACGGCUGUCGUCAGCUCGUGUCGUGAGAUGUUGGGUUAAGUCCCGCAACGAGCGCAACCCUUGUCUCAUGUUGCCAGCACGUUAUGGUGGGGACUCGUGAGAGACUGCCGGGGUCAACUCGGAGGAAG
RNAcentral lists this ribosomal RNA (275 nucleotides) under uncultured Mycobacterium sp. RNAcentral's name for it is "partial 16S ribosomal RNA". It matches the Rfam family "Bacterial small subunit ribosomal RNA", at positions 896 to 1172 of the family's 1533-position model. Lineage: Bacteria; Bacillati; Actinomycetota; Actinomycetes; Mycobacteriales; Mycobacteriaceae. The record is from RNAcentral.